RNAcentral lists this microRNA precursor (107 nucleotides) under Pelobates cultripes (western spadefoot toad). The record is from RNAcentral. Lineage: Eukaryota; Metazoa; Chordata; Amphibia; Anura; Pelobatidae.
UGGUGACAGAGGGAGGGAGUGACUAGUGACAGAGGGAGGGAGGGGGUGACUGUCACUAGUCACCCCAUCCCUCUCUCUGUCACUAGUCACCCCCCCUCACUCUGUCA